This 413-nucleotide ribosomal RNA is filed under the name uncultured microorganism. RNAcentral describes it as "bacterial SSU rRNA". It matches the Rfam family "Archaeal small subunit ribosomal RNA", at positions 330 to 745 of the family's 1478-position model. The record is from RNAcentral.
GCGCACCAGUCGAGAAUACUCCACAAUGCGCGAAAGCGCGAUGGGGCUAUCCCGAGUGCCGUCCGCUGAGGAUGGCUUUUCUCCAGUGUAAGGAGCUGGAGGAAUAAGGAGAGGGCAAGUCUGGUGUCAGCCGCCGCGGUAAUACCAGCUCUCCGAGUGGUAGGGACGUUUAUUGGGCUUAAAGCGUCCGUAGCCGGCUCAACAAGUCCUCCGUUAAAUCCAGCGAUUCAAUCGUUGGACUGCGGGGGAUACUGUUGGGCUAGGGGACGGGAGAGGCCAACGGUAUUCCCGGAGUAGGGGUGAAAUCCUAUAAUUCCGGGAGGACCACCAGUGGCGAAGGCUGUCGGCUAGAACGAGCUCGACGGUGAGGGACGAAAGCUGGGGGAGCGAACCGGAUUAGAUACCCCCGUAGU